AAUAACCUUCAGGGCAGGGUGUGAUUCCCUACCGGCGGUAAAGCCCGCGAGCGUAAUGCAUGAUUCGGUGAAAUUCCGAAGCCGACAGUAUAGUCUGGAUGAAAGAAGGAAAAU
RNAcentral lists this non-coding RNA (114 nucleotides) under Clostridium bornimense. RNAcentral's name for it is "FMN sequence". It matches the Rfam family "FMN riboswitch aptamer (RFN element)". From Rfam's summary of the family: The RFN element is a highly conserved domain that is found frequently in the 5'-untranslated regions of prokaryotic mRNAs that encode for flavin mononucleotide (FMN) biosynthesis and transport proteins. This element is a metabolite-dependent riboswitch that directly binds FMN in the absence of proteins. The record is from Rfam by way of RNAcentral. Lineage: Bacteria; Bacillati; Bacillota; Clostridia; Eubacteriales; Clostridiaceae.